CAUGACUGUCACUCCUUCCUUACACCAUGAAGGCCCCAAAGUAGGAGCGGGUCCCGUCACGGAGUCGGACCAGGCGCUCAUCCGGCACACGGACGACCACCUCCUCGCCAGCGUCCAGGUGGGGAAACUGAGGCAUGGAGCCAUUAAGUGACCAGCCAAAAGCAUCAAAACUUGUGAGUGGCAUAACCAAGGAACAGAGAGAGCGCACACCCCGGGCCAGAAGACUUGUAAUCUCCAUGCUCUUCAGUUUUUCUCCAUUAAAAUGGACAUAUGAA
This is a long non-coding RNA of Neofelis nebulosa (Clouded leopard), 275 nucleotides long. RefSeq lists it as uncharacterized. NCBI's taxonomy places the organism in Eukaryota, Metazoa, Chordata, Mammalia, Carnivora, Felidae. The transcript is spliced from 2 exons. The record is from RefSeq and is a predicted model, not a curated record.